AUAACGCACGAAUCCUGUGGGUGAGAAGCUGCGUUCAGGUUCGAGCAUCGCGCAGCGAUACGACAACGCGCAGUGUUGCCCGGAGGGUGAGGCCAAAGGCCGAAUCAAUCCCGCACGGUACCCCC
Molecule: small RNA, 125 nt
Filed under: Serratia proteamaculans
Lineage: Bacteria; Pseudomonadati; Pseudomonadota; Gammaproteobacteria; Enterobacterales; Yersiniaceae
Description: RtT sRNA
Rfam family: RtT RNA
About the family: This family represents a bacterial cis-regulatory element known as RtT RNA.
Source: RNAcentral